CAUAUCAGGUUGAAUCACCGGUUCUAGCACGAUCACCGAAGAUAAGCAACGUUGAGCCUGAUCAAUACGUGGAUGGGUGACAGCUUGCGAAUAGCAGAUGCUGCAA
Molecule: non-coding RNA, 106 nt
Organism: Acanthosepion pharaonis
Lineage: Eukaryota; Metazoa; Mollusca; Cephalopoda; Sepiida; Sepiidae
Source: the annotation of a GenBank genome assembly